GAAUUAGUAAUCUUAAUUGGUAAAGUGUUUCCUUGUCGAGGAAAAGGAUGCCGGGUCGAAGCCGGCCUAAUUCG
Molecule: transfer RNA, 74 nt
Organism: Exophiala dermatitidis
Lineage: Eukaryota; Fungi; Ascomycota; Eurotiomycetes; Chaetothyriales; Herpotrichiellaceae
Rfam family: tRNA
About the family: Transfer RNA (tRNA) molecules are approximately 80 nucleotides in length. Their secondary structure includes four short double-helical elements and three loops (D, anti-codon, and T loops). Further hydrogen bonds mediate the characteristic L-shaped molecular structure. tRNAs have two regions of fundamental functional importance: the anti-codon, which is responsible for specific mRNA codon recognition, and the 3' end, to which the tRNAs corresponding amino acid is attached (by aminoacyl-tRNA synthetases). tRNAs cope with the degeneracy of the genetic code in two manners: having more than one tRNA (with a specific anti-codon) for a particular amino acid; and 'wobble' base-pairing, i.e. permitting non-standard base-pairing at the 3rd anti-codon position.
Source: Rfam